Molecule: long non-coding RNA, 460 nt
Organism: Rana temporaria (common frog)
Lineage: Eukaryota; Metazoa; Chordata; Amphibia; Anura; Ranidae
Exons: 3
Source: RefSeq, a predicted model, not a curated record
UCUCUGCGCUCGUAUGCCAUAUGUGUCCGCGCACGCCCGAUGAUGUCAGACGCUCGGGCGUGCGGGGGGGGGAUAUAAGGAGCCAGCCCAGUCCAUCAUGUCUGCUGCUCCCAACUGCAACACAGUCCCCAUGACCCGUGUAUCCAUGCAGACUGUGUGAACAGGCCUAUUUCCCUCUCAUGCACUUAACAAGACGAGGCUCCUUGACCACCUUCUGUGCUUUAAAACCUUGUUUUAUGCAAGCUGGUUAUAUAAUUCUGGUCGCUUUUAGAACCCCUGAAGAAGCCGACUACGGCGAAAUAUAUUGAGUCAAAUAACAUCCCAAACCGACCAGUAGUUCAACAUUGGGGAAUUCCAGCAACCCAAAUAUCCGAAUUCUGACAAAUUGUUUUUAAAUGGUGUAUUAUGUAUUGUAUAAAAUUCAAACUUUGAUGUUUUAAUAAAUUGUUAUAAAAUUGAA